CGAGCAAUCUGCCCUUCUCUUCGGAAUAAGCGUGGGAAACCGCGUCUAAUGCCGAAUACGACCUCCUUUCGCAUGAUCGGAGGUGGAAAGCUCCGGCGGAGAAGGAUGAGCUCGCGGCCUAUCAGCUAGUUGGUGCGGGUAAUGGCCCACCAAGGCGACGACGGGUAGCCGGCCUGAGAGGGUGACCGGCCACACUGGGACUGAGACACGGCCCAGACUCCUACGGGAGGNAGCG
Molecule: ribosomal RNA, 235 nt
Filed under: uncultured bacterium
Lineage: Bacteria
Description: partial 16S ribosomal RNA
Rfam family: Bacterial small subunit ribosomal RNA
Source: RNAcentral